This 428-nucleotide ribosomal RNA is filed under the name uncultured bacterium. RNAcentral's name for it is "bacterial SSU rRNA". It matches the Rfam family "Bacterial small subunit ribosomal RNA", at positions 355 to 775 of the family's 1533-position model. The record is from RNAcentral.
UGGGGAAUAUUGGACAAUGGGCGCAAGCCUGAUCCAGCAAUGCCGCGUGUGUGAAGAAGGCCUGCGGGUUGUAAAGCACUUUCGGUGGGGAGAAUGAAACUUAUCCUAAUAAGAUAAGUGGAAGAUGUUACCCACAGAAGAAGCACCGGCUAACUCUGUGCCAGCAGCCGCGGUAAUACAGAGGGUGCGAGCGUUAAUCGGAAUUACUGGGCGUAAAGGGUGCGUAGGUGGUUAGAUAAGUUAGGUGUGAAAGUCCCGGGCUUAACCUGGGGAUUGCGCCUGAUACUGUUUAACUAGAGUACUGUAGAGGAAAGUGGAAUUUCCGGUGUAGCGGUGAAAUGCGUAGAUAUCGGAAGGAACAUCAGUGGCGAAGGCGACUUUCUGGACAGAUACUGACACUGAGGCACGAAAGCAUGGGGAGCAAACAG